GUGGGGAAUUUUGGACAAUGGGGGCAACCCUGAUCCAGCCAUGCCGCGUGAGUGAAGAAGGCCUUCGGGUUGUAAAGCUCUUUCGGCGGGAACGAAAAGGCCACGCUUAAUACGGGUGGUCGAUGACGGUACUCGCAGAAGAAGCACCGGCUAACUACGUGCCAGCAGCCGCGGUAAUACGUAGGGUGCGAGCGUUAAUCGGAAUUACUGGGCGUAAAGCGUGCGCAGGCGGAUGCUUAAGCCAGACGUGAAAUCCCCGGGCUUAACCUGGGAAUGGCGUUUGGGACUGGGUGUCUUGGAGUGCGGCAGAGGGAGGUGGAAUUCCUGGUGUAGCAGUGAAAUGCGUAGAUAUCAGGAGGAACACCGAUGGCGAAGGCAGCCUCCUGGGCCAGCACUGACGCUCAUGCACGAAAGCGUGGGGAGCAAACAGGAUUAGAAACCCCAGUAGUCC
Molecule: ribosomal RNA, 451 nt
Filed under: uncultured bacterium
Lineage: Bacteria
Description: bacterial SSU rRNA
Rfam family: Bacterial small subunit ribosomal RNA
Source: RNAcentral